GGGAGGCCGCGGUGCUGCAGGGAGGUGGGUUUUGGGAGCGGGGCCGUGUUCCCAUGCUCACGAGGGGCUGUGUAUCAGCACUGACCGUCAGGACGUUCCCCUUUACAAUCCAGAGGGUGAGAAACCGUCCUCAGCUCUGUCCUGUCUCCUUACCUGCUGUGACAUUAGGGUGACAGGGACCUUCCAGUUCAGAAAUGCCAUAGGAUAUUUCAGUCAUGGCAUUUUCCCAGAGCUUUGACCUCACUAAAUGAAGUCACAGCACAACUCCAAGGCCCAGGACAUUUAAGGAUGCUGUUGACAACUGAUGCCGAAUAAUUCUGGUGCCAUCAUAUCACUCGCAGCUAAAAUCACACCACUCCUGCUUUAUCAGCGCAGCACCACUAACUCCAGCAGACUGGGUGAGCCGGCGAAGAGGUUUUUCCACACGUCCUUUUCCUCGGUCACAACUGCCAAAGCUGCUCGGUGCCGCACCGGGGACUGCUCGUGCCUGGACAGCCGGGACCCCCGCUCAUUUCAGGCAAUACUGAGUUCUCAUCAAGCCUGAGAAAGAAGCACGGAGGUUCAGGAGACUGAAACACUUUGGCCGUGCAGCUCCCGAGGAGAAGGGUUUAUCAGGAGACACAGCUCUUCCUCAUUCUGAACCAACAUUUCCUGUGAUUUCAGCAAUGAUUUUCAAGAUACUGUGGGGUGCACAAUUUAACAUGCAGCAAGCACGUUGAGCAGAGCUGCUAUUCCCCACCCCCUCCAUGAUUACUCUUUGCAAGUCCCUCCUUUGUGGUACCUUCACUUAAAAUUCUCAUAAUUUGUAUUUUUAUUCUUCUGACAUACAAGUACCAUUUAAAAUGGUUCUCCCAUCGGUAACGUUACUCAAACAACAGUCCGGGGAUCCCUAGUUGACAGCAGGGAGCAGCAACAUAGAUUGAUAUCUCUGUAAGUAGGCAAAAAAUUGACACCCAACUCAGCAGAGUUCCCAGUUUCGAAGAAUUCCCACACACCGACUAUUUGUGCAUUCAUUUGAAGAGGAAAGGAAGCAGUCAACACUGCUAUUCAAAAAAAUAAACAGA
This 1064-nucleotide long non-coding RNA is filed under the name Aquila chrysaetos chrysaetos. Its description in RNAcentral is "lncRNA (ENSACCG00020008234.1)". Lineage: Eukaryota; Metazoa; Chordata; Aves; Accipitriformes; Accipitridae. The record is from RNAcentral.